RNAcentral lists this ribosomal RNA (531 nucleotides) under uncultured bacterium. Its description in RNAcentral is "bacterial SSU rRNA". It matches the Rfam family "Bacterial small subunit ribosomal RNA", at positions 777 to 1304 of the family's 1533-position model. The record is from RNAcentral.
AAUAGAUACCCCGGUAGUCCAUGCCGUAAACGUUGGGAACUAGAUGUGGGGACCAUUCCACGGUCUCCGUGUCGCAGCUAACGCAUUAAGUUCCCCGCCUGGGGAGUACGGCCGCAAGGCUAAAACUCAAAGGAAUUGACGGGGGCCCGCACAAGCGGCGGAGCAUGCGGAUUAAUUCGAUGCAACGCGAAGAACCUUACCAAGGCUUGACAUAUACGAGAACGCUGCAGAAAUGUAGAACUCUUUGGACACUCGUAUACAGGUGGUGCAUGGUUGUCGCCAGCUCGUGUCGUGAGAUGUUGGGUUAAGUCCCGCAACGAGCGCAACCCUCGUCGUAUGUUGCUAGCACGUAAUGGUGGGAACUCAUAUGAGACUGCCGGGGUCAACUCGGAGGAAGGUGGGGAUGAGGUCAAAUCAUCAUGCCCCUUAUGUCUUGGGCUUCACGCAUGCUACAAUGGCCGGUACAAAGGGCUGCAAUACCGCAAGGUGGAGCGAAUCCCGAAAAACGCCGGUCUCAGUUCGGAUUGAGGU